This 253-nucleotide ribosomal RNA is filed under the name uncultured bacterium. RNAcentral describes it as "partial 16S ribosomal RNA". It matches the Rfam family "Bacterial small subunit ribosomal RNA", at positions 524 to 776 of the family's 1533-position model. The record is from RNAcentral.
UACGUAGGUGGCAAGCGUUGUCCGGAUUUACUGGGCGUAAAGAGCGCGCAGGCGGUCAGAUAAGUCGAAUGUGAAAGCCCCUGGCUCAACUGGGGAGGGUCAUUCGAUACUGUUCGACUCGAAGGCAGGAGAGGGAAGUGGAAUUCCCGGUGUAGUGGUGAAAUGCGUAGAGAUCAGCAGGAACACCCGUGGCGAAGGCGGCCCCCUGGGCCGUACCUGACGCUGAGGCGCGAAGGCUAGGGGAGCGAACGGG